Molecule: RNA transcript, 1997 nt
Organism: Musa acuminata AAA Group (dessert banana)
Lineage: Eukaryota; Viridiplantae; Streptophyta; Magnoliopsida; Zingiberales; Musaceae
Exons: 8
Source: RefSeq, a predicted model, not a curated record
UGAUUGUUUGCUUUGUCCUGCCACUUCGAACCAUAGCGAGUAAGAAAGUUGCGAUCUUGGAGGGUUUUGGAAUCGUUCUGUUGUUGCGUUCCUUUUCUUUUCUGUGUGAUUCAUCAUCUUUGCAAUACUUCUUUGUUGCGUUUUUUUAUGUGUUACUCUUCAAUUUUUUAUUUCUAUGUUAGUAUUACGAGAAGCCUAUUGAAGAUUUUAUUUUUUGGAGUAUAAUUGGGUUUUGAUGCUGGGGUGAGACUGAUGAAGUUUUGAUUUUUGGUCUAAUUAUCAUAAUAUCAUCCUUUUAUUUCAUUUGUCAUGAUAGUUUUUGCCUAGAGCUUUGCAAAGAUUACUACCUAAUAACUCAUGAAUAUUCCUAACUGAAAUGGAUCAGAUAUCAUUCUUUGUAGUGACUGUACUGAUCGAAUUGAAGCAUAAGAGGGUUCAAGUUGUUUGGACUGGUCCGAUCCUAAUUUGGAAUGCUGACACUUUUGAAUGUUUCUUUAGCAGUAACAUCGGUCCCUGUUUACUUAAAUAGCUAUCUGUUGUUUCUUGGAUUUCAUCAUUUGCCAUGGCUUUUAAGCAACAUGCCCAACUUCCUGAAGCGUUAAGUGCAAACUUGGAGGCUCCAAAUCCCAAGGAUGAGCCACAUGCAAGCAGAGAAGAUGAUCUCCGCCAACCGACAGAAUCACAUUUACCUCAUGUUGCUAUUGCACAUAAGCCCACCACAGAAUCCCCUCUUCAUAGGCAUGGGUAUCAACCAAAUUCCAGUGAACAUAGAAGGGCCGGUAGAACAAGUGGUGAAUCUGACAAUAGCAUGGAGCGCUCUCCACUUCACCCCCAUUAUCAUGUGAAAGCUGCAACUAGAGGUGGUGUAUCUUCCAAGGGUUCAUCAGUGAGUAGCCAUGCACUUGCUUCAAAUGUUGCAGGUAGAUUGAGAACGAGGACUGGUGGUCGAGGUGAUGAAACUCCUGAUAAAGGGUCAUCUGUGCCAAAGUUUGGUGAGUGGGAUGAAAGUAAUCCUUCAUCAGCUGAUGGUUUCACUGGCAUAUUUAACAAAGUGAGGGAGGAAAAAAAGAGUGGAUCAGCAAAAGCUACCAUGAUAACAAAUGAUACAAUCUAUCUAUGUUAAUGACCAAGAUGGUAGUGGUGGGUCCUUGAGCUGUUGCUUUGGCUGGUGCAAAAAAUAACUAGUAUUACAAGAAGAUUCAGAGCUUCGAUCCUGUAAAUAUCCUCAAAUAAGAGUCAUGAUAUUUGCAUCUGUUUGGAACUGCAUGUUCCUCUGUGCUAGCGUGUCUUUUGGUAUGUCUUCGUAUGUUAAUUCGAAGGUGUGUCUAUGAAAACAUAUCAAAGGAUGAGAUACAGAAGUUGUUUCCACCAGAAGUCCUACCUGAAUUACAAAGAUUACUCACCCUGCUCCUGCAGAAGUUUCAACGAGAAUGGUGCGAAGAUGUGCUCAAAGAUCAGGUUUCUUUGCCUCGCCUGAAGUCAAUGACAUGUAAUGUGGUAAAUCAAAAUCAAGAUUCUGUGGAGCAUGUUGCUGUUAUGAAUCUGAAGCUCCAAGGUGAUACACAGUCUUCAUCAGGUGAAACACAGGUUAAAUUACAAUUGGCAAGAGAUACCCUCGAGACGAUGUUGAAGUCUAUGUACUUCAUAAGAGAUCAAAUGUCCAGUGGGGAUGCUACCUCUAAUGGACUUGGGCAAGAACAGGGAGCAGCCGAAACAGCCUUAACAUAAAAUCUUGGGAUGCCUGGCCUAUGUAUUAUAGUUUUCUUUCUUUUCUUAACACUGACAUAAUAUUCUGUGUUCUUAUUCUUCUCAAUCCUGGGACUCUGGAAUUUUGAAGCUACUUAGCAACCCUUUUGUUUCCCAACUAAACUCAUCCAGCCGUAUGUAUGUGUGUGUAUAGCAUGGGGGCAAAUACUGUCAAUUAGGUUUCAUUUUCAGAAUGUGUUUAGAUCAUUUUCAAUUUAUUCUAGAAGCAAAACAUCUUAUUCUUUUGAGAA